RNAcentral lists this unclassified non-coding RNA (220 nucleotides) under uncultured fungus. RNAcentral's name for it is "sequence contains ITS1, 5.8S rRNA gene". Lineage: Eukaryota; Fungi. The record is from RNAcentral.
UCGUACAUCCGAGGAGGGGUCCGGUCGCGCCCUGCUCCGGUCCAAACGGCCGUGAAGCGGGUCCCGGGUCCCGACUCUACCAACCAAAAACCCCCCUUGUGCUCCUUUACGGCCAGAGGGCGAUGCUGCCGGCGAGAGCCGCGCGCGCCCGAAGCCGCAUCACAACAAACACCGAGUCCAAAAGAAUGUCCAGCGGACCAUGUGCCGCCUACAACUGAAA